CGAACGCUGGCGGCGUGCUUAACACAUGCAAGUCGAACGAUGAAGCUAGAGCUUGCUCUGGUGGAUUAGUGGCGAACGGGUGAGUAACACGUGAGUAACCUGCCCCGAACUCUGGGAUAACUGCUGGAAACGGUAGCUAAUACUGGAUACGACCAACGAAGGCAUCUUCUGUUGGUGGAAAGAAUUUCGGUUCGGGAUGGACUCGCGGCCUAUCAGCUUGUUGGUGAGGUAACGGCUCACCAAGGCGACGACGGGUAGCCGGCCUGAGAGGGUGAUCGGCCACACUGGGACUGAGACACGGCCCAGACUCCUACGGGAGGCAGCAGUGGGGAAUAUUGCACAAUGGGCGCAAGCCUGAUGCAGCAACGCCGCGUGAGGGACGACGGCCUUCGGGUUGUAAACCUCUUUUAGUAGGGAAGAAGCGAAAGUGACGGUACCUGCAGAAAAAGCACC
RNAcentral lists this ribosomal RNA (453 nucleotides) under uncultured Actinomycetes bacterium. RNAcentral's name for it is "bacterial SSU rRNA". It matches the Rfam family "Bacterial small subunit ribosomal RNA", at positions 30 to 494 of the family's 1533-position model. The record is from RNAcentral. Lineage: Bacteria; Bacillati; Actinomycetota; Actinomycetes.